GGGGAAUCUUAGACAAUGGGGGCAACCCUGAUCUAGCCAUGCCGCGUGAGUGAUGAAGGCCUUAGGGUUGUAAAGCUCUUUCAGCUGGGAAGAUAAUGACGGUACCAGCAGAAGAAGCCCCGGCUAACUCCGUGCCAGCAGCCGCGGUAAUACGGAGGGGGCUAGCGUUGUUCGGAAUUACUGGGCGUAAAGCGCACGUAGGCGGAUCGGAAAGUUGGGGGUGAAAUCCCGGGGCUCAACCCCGGAACUGCCUUCAAAACUAUCGGUCUGGAGUUCGAGAGAGGUGAGUGGAAUUCCGAGUGUAGAGGUGAAAUUCGUAGAUAUUCGGAGGAACACCAGUGGCGAAGGCGGCUCACUGGCUCGAUACUGACGCUGAGGUGCGAAAGCGUGGGGAGCAAAC
Molecule: ribosomal RNA, 400 nt
Filed under: uncultured bacterium
Lineage: Bacteria
Description: bacterial SSU rRNA
Rfam family: Bacterial small subunit ribosomal RNA
Source: RNAcentral